Molecule: ribosomal RNA, 432 nt
Filed under: uncultured bacterium
Lineage: Bacteria
Description: partial 16S ribosomal RNA
Rfam family: Bacterial small subunit ribosomal RNA
Source: RNAcentral
ACGCACGCUGGCGGCAUGCCUAACACCUGCCAGUCGAACGAGACCUUCGGGUCUAGUGGCGCACGGGUGCGUAACGCGUGGGAAUCUACCCUCAGGUUCGGAAUAACUCAGAGAAAUUUGAGCUAAUACCGGAUGAUGACGUAAGUCCAAAGAUUUAUCGCCUGAGGAUGAGCCCGCGUAGGAUUAGGUAGUUGGUGAGGUAAAGGCUCACCAAGCCGACGAUCCUUAGCUGGUCUGAGAGGAUGAUCAGCCACACUGGGACUGAGACACGGCCCAGACUCCUACGGGAGGCAGCAGUGGGGAAUAUUGGACAAUGGGCGAAAGCCUGAUCCAGCAAUGCCGCGUGAGUGAUGAAGGCCUUAGGGUUGUAAAGCUCUUUUACCCGGGAUGAUAAUGACAGUACCGGGAGAAUAAGCUCCGGCUAACUCCGUG